This 423-nucleotide ribosomal RNA is filed under the name uncultured bacterium. RNAcentral's name for it is "bacterial SSU rRNA". It matches the Rfam family "Bacterial small subunit ribosomal RNA", at positions 8 to 431 of the family's 1533-position model. The record is from RNAcentral.
AGAGUUUGAUCCUGGCUCAGAUUGAACGCUGGCGGCAUGCUUUACACAUGCAAGUCGAACGGCAGCACGGGUGCUUGCACCUGGUGGCGAGUGGCGAACGGGUGAGUAAUGCACCGGAACGUACCCAGUAAUGGGGGAUAACACAUCGAAAGAUGUGCUAAUACCGCAUACGCCCUGAGGGGGAAAGCGGGGGAUCGUAAGACCUCGCGUUAUUGGAGCGGCCGAUGCCGGAUUAGCUAGUUGGUGAGGUAAGAGCUCACCAAGGCGACGAUCCGUAGCUGGUCUGAGAGGACGACCAGCCACACUGGGACUGAGACACGGCCCAGACUCCUACGGGAGGCAGCAGUGGGGAAUUUUGGACAAUGGGCGCAAGCCUGAUCCAGCCAUGCCGCGUGAGUGAAGAAGGCCUUCGGGUUGUAAAGC